This is a long non-coding RNA of Sinocyclocheilus grahami, 272 nucleotides long. RefSeq lists it as uncharacterized. NCBI's taxonomy places the organism in Eukaryota, Metazoa, Chordata, Actinopteri, Cypriniformes, Cyprinidae. The record is from RefSeq and is a predicted model, not a curated record. The transcript is spliced from 3 exons.
CAAAUGGAGUGGCUUCAAGUCUUUGGUGUCCUGGGAUGUUUACUACACUGCAGGGGAACUCUAACCUCGCCACGCCCAGCACAGAAUCCCUCCUAUCUCAUAUCCGUCUCUGAAGUCCUGCGCUGUGGCGUUCCGACCACUUUAUCAGUCAGCGUUCUGGCAGAUUAUCCCAUCAAAGUCACGGCUGAACUCCUCCAUGGAAACAGCAGUGUGGCCCAAACAGAGAACACCAUCCCAGCAGGCUCUACCAGACUGCUGGCUCUUCCGCCUGU